UACGGGAGGCAGCAGUGGGGAAUAUUGCACAAUGGGCGCAAGCCUGAUGCAGCCAUGCCGCGUAUAUGAAGAAGGCCUUCGGGUUGUAAAGUACUUUCAGUCGUGAGGAAGGUGUUAAGGUUAAUAACCUUAGCAAUUGACGUUAGCGACAGAAGAAGCACCGGCUAACUCCGUGCCAGCAGCCGCGGUAAUACGGAGGGUGCGAGCGUUAAUCGGAAUUACUGGGCGUAAAGGGCACGCAGGCGGUUAAUUAAGUUGGAUGUGAAAUCCCCGGGCUUAACCUGGGAAUGGCAUUCAAGACUGGUUAGCUAGAGUCUUGUAGAGGGGGUAGAAUUCCAUGUGUAGCGGUGAAAUGCGUAGAGAUGUGGAGGAAUACCGGUGGCGAAGGCGGCCCCUGGGACAAAGGCUGACGCUCAUGUGCGAAAGCGUGGGGAGCAAACAGGGAUUAGAUACC
Molecule: ribosomal RNA, 454 nt
Filed under: uncultured bacterium
Lineage: Bacteria
Description: bacterial SSU rRNA
Rfam family: Bacterial small subunit ribosomal RNA
Source: RNAcentral